GAUGAAGAACGUAGCGAAAUGCGAUAAGUAGUGUGAAUUGCAGAAUUCAGUGAAUCAUCGAAUCUUUGAACGCACAUUGCGCCUCCUGGUAUUCCGGGAGGCAUGCCUGUUCGUGCGUCAUUAAAAUCACUCAAGCUUAGGUUUACCUAUUGCUUGGUCUUGGAGAUGGAAGCCAAUUUAUUGGAAUCCUCUUCGAAAUUCAAUGGCGAAGACCCUUGCUCUCCCAAGUGUAGUAAUAACUUAUGUCACUGAAGGAAGCGAGAAAUCUUCUGCCGUAACCCCCAUAUUUUCUAUGAUUGACCUCGGAUCAGGUAGGGAUACCCGCUGAACUUAAGCAUAUCAAUAAGCGGAGGA
RNAcentral lists this unclassified non-coding RNA (354 nucleotides) under soil metagenome. RNAcentral describes it as "partial contains 5.8S ribosomal RNA, internal transcribed spacer 2, and large subunit ribosomal RNA". The stretch from base 1 to 120 matches the Rfam family "5.8S ribosomal RNA", at positions 35 to 154 of the family's 154-position model. The record is from RNAcentral.